This 119-nucleotide ribosomal RNA is filed under the name Periophthalmus magnuspinnatus. Lineage: Eukaryota; Metazoa; Chordata; Actinopteri; Gobiiformes; Gobiidae. The record is from RNAcentral.
CUUUUCAGUCAUACCACCUUCAGUGCAUGUUCUUGUCAGAUCUUUGAAGCUAAGCAGGGUGGGGCUUGGUUAAUAAUCGGAUGGGAGACCACUGAGACUACUUCGGGUCACUCUGAGGC